Molecule: ribosomal RNA, 500 nt
Filed under: uncultured bacterium
Lineage: Bacteria
Description: partial 16S ribosomal RNA
Rfam family: Bacterial small subunit ribosomal RNA
Source: RNAcentral
AUUGAACGCUGGCGGAAUGCUUUACACAUGCAAGUCGAACGGCAGCACGGACUUCGGUCUGGUGGCGAGUGGCGAACGGGUGCGUAACAUAUCGGAACGUAUCCAAUAAUGGGGGAUAACUAAUCGAAAGGUUGGCUAAUACCGCAUACGCCCUACGGGGGAAAACAGGGGAUCUUCGGACCUUGCGUUAAUGGAGCGGCUUAUAUCUGAUUAUCUCGUUGGUGAGGUAAAGGCUCACCAUGGCGACGAUCAGUAGUUGGUCUGAGAGGACGACGAGCCACGGUGUAAUUGAGACACGGUGCAGACUCCUACGGGAGGCGGCAAUGGGAAAUUUUGGACAAGGUGCGGAAACCUGAUCUGGCCAUUCCGGGUGAGUGAAGAGGGCCUUCGGGUUGGAAAGCAUUUUCGCAAGGGAAGAAAACUUACUUUCUGAUAAAUAGUGAGGUUGACGAUACCUUGAUAAGAAGCACCGGCUAACUACGUGCCAGCGGCCGCCGUAA